AGAGUUUGAUCCUGGCUCAGGACGAACGCUGGCGGCGUGCCUAACACAUGCAAGUCGAGCGGGGACAUGCGACGGAGACAAAGUACUCGUACGGAGUCAAAGAUGUAUGUUCUAGCGGCGGACGGGUGAGUAACGCGUGAGCAACCUGUCCCUUACAGGGGGAUAACACAGCGAAAGUUGUACUAAUACCGCAUGAGACCACAGCAUCACAUGGUGCAGGGGUCAAAGGAGCAAUCCGGUAAGGGGUGGGCUCGCGUCCGAUUAGAUAGUUGGUGAGGUAACGGCCCACCAAGUCGACGAUCGGUAGCCGACCUGAGAGGGUGAUCGGCCACAUUGGGACUGAGACACGGCCCAAACUCCUACGGGAGGCAGCAGUGGGGAAUAUUGGGCAAUGGGGGGAACCCUGACCCAGCAACGCCGCGUGAGGGAAGAAGGUUUUCGGAUCGUAAACCUCUGUCCCAGGUGAAGAGUGAGAGACGGUAGCCUGGGAGGAAGCCCCGGCUAACUGCGUGCCAGCAGCCGCGGUAAUACGUAGGGGGCGAGCGUUGUCCGGAAUGAUUGGGCGUAAAGGGCGCGUAGGCGGCCCGGUAAGUCUGGAGUGAAAGUCCUGCUUUUAAGGUGGGAAUUGCUUUGGAUACUGUCGGGCUUGAGUGCAGGAGAGGUAAGUGGAAUUCCCAAUGUAUCGGUGAAAUGCGUAGAGAUUGGGAGGAACACCAGUGGCGAAGGCGACUUACUGGACUGUAACUGACGCUGAGGCGCGAAAGUGUGGGGAGCAAACAGGAUUAGAUACCCUGGUAGUCCACACUGUAAACGAUGAAUGCUAGGUGUAGGGGGUAUCGACCCCUUCUGUGCCGCAGUAAACACAAUAAGCAUUCCGCCUGGGGAGUACGGCCGCAAGGUUGAAACUCAAAGGAAUUGACGGGGGCCCGCACAAGCAGUGGAGUAUGUGGUUUAAUUCGAAGCAACGCGAAGAACCUUACCAGGUCUUGACAUCCAACUAACGAGAUAGAGAUAUGUUAGGUGCCCUUCGGGGAAAGUUGAGACAGGUGGUGCAUGGUUGUCGUCAGCUCGUGUCGUGAGAUGUUGGGUUAAGUCCCGCAACGAGCGCAACCCUUGCUAUUAGUUGCUACGCAAGAGCACUCUAAUAGGACUGCCGUUGACAAAACGGAGGAAGGUGGGGACGACGUCAAAUCAUCAUGCCCCUUAUGACCUGGGCUACACACGUACUACAAUGGUCGUCAACAGAGGGACGCAAAGCCGCGAGGCGGAGCAAAUCCCUAAAAACGAUCUCAGUUCAGAUUGUAGGCUGAAACUCGCCUAUAUGAAGAUGGAAUUGCUAGUAAUCGCAGAUCAGCAUGCUGCGGUGAAUACGUUCCCGGGCCUUGUACACACCGCCCGUCACACCAUGGGAGCCGGUAAUACCCGAAGUCAGUAGCCCAACCGCAAGGAGGACGCUGCCGAAGGUAGGAUUGGCGACUGGGGUGAAGUCGUAACAAGGUAACC
This 1503-nucleotide ribosomal RNA is filed under the name uncultured rumen bacterium. RNAcentral describes it as "bacterial SSU rRNA". It matches the Rfam family "Bacterial small subunit ribosomal RNA". The record is from RNAcentral.